AAGACGGUCCUACGGAUUGUAAACCUCUUUUGCCCGAGGAGCAACGGAGUCCUUGCGAGGGCCCCGAUGAGAGUACCCGGAGAAAAAGCAUCGGCUAACUCCGUGCCAGCAGCCGCGGUAAUACGGAGGAUGCGAGCGUUAUCCGGAUUUAUUGGGUUUAAAGGGUGCGUAGGCGGGCUGUUAAGUCAGCGGUCAAAUGUCGGGGCUCAACCCCGGCCUGCCGUUGAAACUGGCGGCCUCGAGUGGGCGAGAAGUAUGCGGAAUGCGUGGUGUAGCGGUGAAAUGCAUAGAUAUCACGCAGAACUCCGAUUGCGAAGGCAGCAUACCGGCGCCCGACUGACGCUGAGGCACGAAAGCGUGGGUAUCGAACAGGAUUAGAUACCCUGGUAGUCCACGCAGUAAACGAUGAAUGCUAGCUGUCCGGUUCUACGGGACUGGGUGGCACAGCGAAAGCGUUAAGCAUUCCACCUGGGGAGUACGCCGGCAACGGUGAAACUCAAAGGAAUUGACGGGGGCCCGCACAAGCGGAGGAACAUGUGGUUUAAUUCGAUGAUACGCGAGGAACCUUACCCGGGCUCAAACGCCAAAGGACAGCCGUUGAAAGGCGGCCUCCCUCCGGGGUCUUUGGCGAGGUGCUGCAUGGUUGUCGUCAGCUCGUGCCGUGAGGUGUCGGCUUAAGUGCCAUAACGAGCGCAACCCCCAUCGACAGUUGCUAACGGGUAGAGCCGAGGACUCUGUCGAGACUGCCGGCGCAAGCUGCGAGAAUCCACCACAGUGCGAGAUCUC
This 786-nucleotide ribosomal RNA is filed under the name mouse gut metagenome. Its description in RNAcentral is "bacterial SSU rRNA". It matches the Rfam family "Bacterial small subunit ribosomal RNA", at positions 408 to 1186 of the family's 1533-position model. The record is from RNAcentral.